UUUUUUGUUUGUUUGUUUGAUACAGGGGAGGGGAAGCGGCCACCCGUGGUAAAUUAGAGUAGGGGAAGCCGCAGUCAUUUCGUCUCUAUCCAUUCCCCUCUCCCCCCUUCUCUCUCUAUCACUUUUACCUCUGUCAAAAUCUGAAGAUCUCUGCAGCAAACGAAGGAAUUGCGGUGCUGCUCAACGUCCAGCGAGAGUAUGGGGGACGCUGCUGAUGGAUAGCACACGAGCACUGACACGGAUGAAAAAGGAAGCGACCCUGAAAAUAAAACAGACAAUAGAAGUGCAGAAGGCAAAGAGCAGUGUCUUGGAUAUCCGGCGUUAGAAGAGAAAGAAUAUCAUGUAGAAAUCACUCACACGGAAGCAUGAGAGGGUUCGCUUUUUGAAGAAGUUGCUACAAUGGUUUGUAACCUUUUUCUAUAAAUAUUCAUGAUUUUUUUAGUUUUACUAGUUGAAACAGUGGGUUAACUAGGUAACACAGGAUGUUAACUAGCUGUGUCGCCAUGUCUCCAUACUCAUGCUAUAGUUUAAACUAGCUAAUACAUGAACUUUUGUUAACUAGCUACUUAAUGCAGGGAAGUUAACCAGCCGUGUCAACAUGUCUAUGUACUCUUGUAUAUAAACUAGGAAGAGGAGCAUCUGCAAGCUGCUAGUCAACUUUAGUACUGAAAAAUAUCUAUAAGUUGCUCUGAUCAA
Long non-coding RNA from Triticum aestivum (bread wheat), 696 nucleotides. RefSeq lists it as uncharacterized. The transcript has 2 exons. Lineage: Eukaryota; Viridiplantae; Streptophyta; Magnoliopsida; Poales; Poaceae. The record is from RefSeq and is a predicted model, not a curated record.